UAACACGUAGGAGGCAAACGUUAUCCGGAUUUACUGGGCGUAAAGCGCGUGUAGGUGGUUUGGUAAGUAGGGCGUGAAAGCUCCUGGCUCAACUGGGAGAGGACGUUCUAAACUGCCAAGCUUGAGGAUGGUAGAGGGAGGUGGAAUUCCGGGUGUAGCGGUGGAAUGCGCAGAUAUCCGGAGGAACACCAGUGGCGAAGGCGGCCUCCUGGACCACUCCUGACACUCAGACGCGAAAGCUAGGGUAGCAAACGGG
This 256-nucleotide ribosomal RNA is filed under the name uncultured archaeon. Its description in RNAcentral is "partial 16S ribosomal RNA". It matches the Rfam family "Bacterial small subunit ribosomal RNA", at positions 521 to 776 of the family's 1533-position model. The record is from RNAcentral.